UAGACUUUGUUCUGAGCUGAAGCCAAGGCCUAACGAGCGACCAUUUCUCUUGGACUUUCAUGGUAAUAGAAAAAAAGAAUCAUUUCUUCAUCUUCUCUCUUUCCGGUUAUACCUUUUCAAUUGCAACUGACCACUGGCUAAUCAUCUUCUUCAUCUGCUUAUUCUCAUAAUGUUCAUCAUCAUCAAUUGUGGUUCCUGUUUAAUUAUAUCGGUUAACUGUUUUUCUUUAGGUGGAGAAAAAAAAUUCUGCCUCUCUGCUAAUCCAAUUUUGCUUUUUCUUCAAUGUUUACAUUUUGACAUUUUUUUCUUCUUCGUUUUCAAUGAAAUUGAUUGGAAAUCAUCUUAAUUUAUUGUUAUUGGAUUAAGAUUAUUAGGUGUGUGGUUAUUUGUUGUCAUUUUCGUGAUUUAUUAUUAGAAAUCAAUCAAUCUGAUUUUAAUCA
Long non-coding RNA from Panonychus citri (citrus red mite), 440 nucleotides. RefSeq lists it as uncharacterized. The record is from RefSeq and is a predicted model, not a curated record. Lineage: Eukaryota; Metazoa; Arthropoda; Arachnida; Trombidiformes; Tetranychidae. The transcript has 2 exons.